AAGCAGCGCGAAGCCAGUUCGAAUUUUUAUGCGUAAAAAUUCGUUUCUACCAAAACAGAAAGCAUUCCUGGUGUGGUUUGUGUGGGCGAUGGCGCUUGUGGUACGAAGGGCGACCGGUGUCAGCCCUGUCUCGCUAACGAUACGCUCAUAAGCUGAAGUUGUUUGACACGCAAAACAACUUCCAUCGCUUCUUCAAGAUUGGAAUGUCCUGCAGCGUAGACGGACUGCCGGCGGGGUGUAGACUCCGGGGCAUGGGCUCUACCGUUCAGAGUGGUCCACUUAAUUCGUCUUUGAGUGGAGCGCAAGAAUCAAGCAACAAUGUCGUGCCGCUACAGCGAGCGCCAUCGCAGAAACCGUGCUGUUUCUGCUGGUGCUGCUGCUGUUCCUGCU
Long non-coding RNA from Anopheles maculipalpis, 390 nucleotides. RefSeq lists it as uncharacterized. The transcript is spliced from 3 exons. NCBI's taxonomy places the organism in Eukaryota, Metazoa, Arthropoda, Insecta, Diptera, Culicidae. The record is from RefSeq and is a predicted model, not a curated record.